AUUUGAUGAUGAGGACAUCGAAUAAGUAAAGCAUUAAAGUGGUCCUAAUAUUCAAAUAAAGACUCUCAUGUAUGUUGUUUGACUCCGCAUAUCUCUUUCCUCAUGAU
This is a small nucleolar RNA of Andrographis paniculata, 107 nucleotides long. The record is from RefSeq and is a predicted model, not a curated record. NCBI's taxonomy places the organism in Eukaryota, Viridiplantae, Streptophyta, Magnoliopsida, Lamiales, Acanthaceae.